GUAGGGAAUAUUGGGCAAUGAAUGCAAGUCUGACCCAGCCAUCCCGCGUGCCGGAAGAAGGCCCUCAGGGUUGUAAACGGCUUUUGACGGUGAAGAAUCGACAGGAUGCGUCCUGUUUUGACGGUAGCCGUUGAAUAAGCACCGGCUAACUCCGUGCCAGCAGCCGCGGUAAUACGGAGGGUGCGAGCGUUGUCCGGAUUUAUUGGGUUUAAAGGGUGCGUAGGCUGGAAGGUCAGUCAGCGGUGAAAAGCUGUCGCUUAACGAUAGUCUUGCCGCAGAUACUUCCUUUCUUGGAUGAGGAGGAGGCCACUGGAACGGAUGGUGUAGCGGUGAAAUGCAUAGAUAUCAUCCAGAACACCGAUUGCGAAGGCAGGUGGCUGUACCUUAAUCGACGCUGAUGCACGAAAGCAUGGGGAGCAAACAGGAUUAGAAACCCCUGUAGUCC
This 445-nucleotide ribosomal RNA is filed under the name uncultured bacterium. Its description in RNAcentral is "partial 16S ribosomal RNA". It matches the Rfam family "Bacterial small subunit ribosomal RNA", at positions 354 to 796 of the family's 1533-position model. The record is from RNAcentral.